AGCUUUGUGCAGUGGCAGUAUUGUAGCCAAUGAGGUUUAUCCGAGGCGCGAUUAUUGCUAAUUGUAAAGAUGUCAGUUUUCCCUGUAAUGAUCUAUUUAGGCUCAGGGCAAUUUAAAUCAUUAUCUCAAAGAAUAUUUU
Molecule: small nuclear RNA, 139 nt
Filed under: Mustela putorius furo (domestic ferret)
Lineage: Eukaryota; Metazoa; Chordata; Mammalia; Carnivora; Mustelidae
Description: U4 spliceosomal RNA
Rfam family: U4 spliceosomal RNA
About the family: U4 small nuclear RNA (U4 snRNA) is a component of the major U2-dependent spliceosome. The structure of U4 snRNA from yeast and human has been reported. U4 snRNA presents a k-turn RNA motif in the 5p-SL related to recognition of Snu13 protein.
Source: Rfam by way of RNAcentral